AGUCACUGACAUUAGAUACCCCUGUAGUCCCAGCCGUAAACUAUGCGCGUUAGGUGUACUGGUGACCACGAGUCACCGGGGUGCCGAAGGGAAACCGUGAAACGUGCCGCCUGGGAAGUACGGUCGCAAGGCUGAAACUUAAAGGAAUUGGCGGGGGAGCACCGCAACGGGAGGAGCGUGCGGUUUAAUUGGAUUCAACACCGUAAAACUCACCAGGGAAGACUGUUACAUGAAAGCCGAGAUGAAGACUCUGCUAGAUUUUCAG
Molecule: ribosomal RNA, 265 nt
Filed under: uncultured archaeon
Lineage: Archaea
Description: partial 16S ribosomal RNA
Rfam family: Archaeal small subunit ribosomal RNA
Source: RNAcentral